UAGGUGUCACUAGUGGAUUAUGAGAGCUCAUUAAGGUUGUUCUGGAUCGACAAUCCUUGAUGAGUUAGAGUGAAAUUGUUCCAACCCAUAGAAAAGAGUUUCAAUGAUACUUUGAUAGAGAUCAUUGUAUAUCUCACAACCAGGUAGAAUUAAAUCUAUGGGGUCACAGAACAAAAAGAUUAGGCCUAGAUUAGCAAUUAGACUUAUGAAGUGUCAAUUGGA
Molecule: long non-coding RNA, 222 nt
Filed under: Elaeis guineensis (African oil palm)
Lineage: Eukaryota; Viridiplantae; Streptophyta; Magnoliopsida; Arecales; Arecaceae
Description: long non-coding RNA (EGUI_LNC060823)
Source: RNAcentral